RNAcentral lists this ribosomal RNA (399 nucleotides) under uncultured bacterium. RNAcentral's name for it is "bacterial SSU rRNA". It matches the Rfam family "Bacterial small subunit ribosomal RNA", at positions 362 to 775 of the family's 1533-position model. The record is from RNAcentral.
UAUUGGACAAUGGGGGGAACCCUGAUCCGGUGACGCCGCCUGAGUGAAGAAGUAUUUCGGUAUGUAAAGCUCUAUCAGCAGGGAAGAAAGAAAUUACGGUACCUGACUAAGAAGCCCCGGCUCACUACGUGCCAGCAGCCGCGGUAAUACGUAGGGGGCAAGCGUUAUCCGGAUUUCCUGGGUGUAAAGGGAGCGUAGACGGCGAGGCAAGUCUGAAGUGAAAGGCGGGGGCCCAACCCCCGGACUGCUUUGGAAACUGUAUAGCUGGAGUGCAGGAGAGGUAAGUGGAAUUCCUAGUGUAGCGGUGAAAUGCGUAGAUAUUAGGAGGAACACCAGUGGCGAAGGCGGCUUACUGGACUGUAACUGACGUUGAGGCUCGAAAGCGUGGGGAGCAAACAG